CCUACGGGUGGCAGCAGUGGGGAAUAUUGGGCAAUGGAGGCAACUCUGACCCAGCAAUGCCGCGUGAGUGACGAUGGUAAUUUUAUUGUAAAGCUCUUUUCUUUGGAACGAAUAAAUGUCGGUACCAAAGGAAUAAGCCCUGGCUAACUACGUGCCAGCAGCCGCGGUGAUACGGAGGGGGCAAGCGUUGUGCGGAAUGACUGGGGGUAAAGGGUGUGUAGGUGGUUUGAUAAGUUAGAGGUGUAAUACCCAGGGCUUAACUCGGGUGCUGCAUCUAAGACUGUUAGACUUGAGUACGGGAGAGGAUAGUGGAAUGCCUAGUGUAGCGGUGGAAUGCGUAGAUAUUAGGAGGAACAUCAGUGGCGAAGGCGACUAUCUGGACAGCAACUGACACUGAGGCACGAAAGCGUGGGGAGCAAACAGGAUUAGAUACCCUGGUAGUC
RNAcentral lists this ribosomal RNA (443 nucleotides) under uncultured bacterium. Its description in RNAcentral is "partial 16S ribosomal RNA". It matches the Rfam family "Bacterial small subunit ribosomal RNA", at positions 338 to 795 of the family's 1533-position model. The record is from RNAcentral.